CACGCAAGGGCUGCUGCGUGCAAAACAUGAAUGCAUUCAGUAGCUGCACAAAGUAUAUAGCAGAAAACUGCCAGACCAGCCAGUCAGCUCUUCACUUGUUGCAGCUCUAACUCUGCUGUGAUAUGCAGUCAUCUGGGAUGGUCUUCAUCUGUCCAUGUUUAGACAUCUAAAUUUUCUACAGCCUAGAGGCACACAUUGGGACUGACCACCUGACCACCUAGUCAACAGCAAGAAAACAGUAUUAUUGAAGUACAGUAACUCUUAAAGGGGCAUGCCUGAGGAGCUGAUAAUUCUCCAGAGCUGUGAGAUGAUGCACCUCAAGGCCCAGCAUCCUUCAGGGAAAGGCUUCCCUGCUGCUGACUUCAGCAGGAACUGGUGCCAUGGUCAUCCCACCCAGGCUGGUUUUGCCAUGGGAACAGAGCAUUUCUCUAUUGUGAUUAUCUUUAUCUUCAUCAUUAUCUGUUCAGGCUUAUUAAGUUUAUAUGGGAUUGUGAUUUUCCAUUAAGCCUUAUCUGUCUGCUUGGAGAGGUAAAAAUAUUUUUUUUCCCAUGGCAAGGGCUGCUUAAUUUUGACAAUAAGUUAUCUGUUCUUACUGUUCCCUAGGUAUUUCAUUGACAGUUACAGUGGCCCUUUCAAAACAGAGGCUUAGGCAUAGCACUUUAGAAGUAUUAAUCUUUCUCUCUGCAGUUCAACUGAAUGACACUCAAAAAUGUAACUAAACUCAAUGUAACUAAAAUGUAACUAAACUCGGAGCCAGGGGAAAUGUCCAAUUGACAUUGGACACUUUUGUCCAAUAAAGUGUCACAAAAUACCUUUGUUUGGAAAUUUCUGAUGCUGACAUUUCUACCUACUUAUAUAAGCUAGAUGACACUGCUACAAAACAGAUAAAGCAUCUGUCUUGGAUAUUUAUAAAAAUGCCACUUUUAGAAUUGUAUGAUUGUUUAUUUAUUUUUGUAUGCAGAAAGACUGGAUGUGAACCACUAUCUGGGCUGUCCCAAGCCUGCAGGUGUUGUGUAGUGACCAAAGGAUAUUUUCAGUCUCUGCUGCUGAGCAUGGUGUUGUUGAGGAUAGCUUUGCUGAAGGAGGCUCAAAAAACCCUAUCUCCUGGUCUCCUGGCAUGAGUUCACUCUGUGGCCUUGUGUCAAUGGCAGGACUGUACUUGUGAACCUCAAAUGUGCACAGCAGCAUAGACAUGAUGCCAACUUCACAGCCACUUACCCACUUCUCUCUCCAUGCAUUACUUCCAAUAUAGAACAGAAAAUAUACUACUGCUAGCUAAGAAUCAGCUAGGGCUAUGCUGGAGAGGUUUGAUAGAGCCAGGUAAAAUCAUAGCCAGCUUUU
Oxyura jamaicensis (ruddy duck) is the source of this 1341-nucleotide long non-coding RNA. RefSeq lists it as uncharacterized. The transcript has 3 exons. Lineage: Eukaryota; Metazoa; Chordata; Aves; Anseriformes; Anatidae. The record is from RefSeq and is a predicted model, not a curated record.